Molecule: non-coding RNA, 637 nt
Organism: Camellia sinensis
Lineage: Eukaryota; Viridiplantae; Streptophyta; Magnoliopsida; Ericales; Theaceae
Source: RefSeq, a predicted model, not a curated record
UCUUCCCAAUUUUUAUCCCCGUCCUCGCUCCUUAUUAUUUUUAUGUAACAAUUAAUUCAUCCAUAUUAAACUGUGACAGAGGACAUCACUUAUGUGUUCCUUGAAAAUUCUGAAUUCGGGUCAUUAUCUUCUAGCUAAUUCUUUCAUAGUUUAACCAUGUUCUGCAAGUUAGUUGCUACUCCAGAUUAUCAAGAGUGUGCUCGAUCCUUGUGAGGAUGAAAAUGAUGACAUUCAAGAUGAUGAUGUGAGCUUGGGGGCUGAUUUUGUACAAAAGAGUGUUCUGAAUUUCAUUUCAUUUCAUGUUUUGGUCAAUUUCACGUAUAUAUUAUGUGUGUAUGCAGUGUAAUUCUUAACUAAAAUUUUGUAUUUGUGGUUGUGUUAUUGGGAAACAGAUAGCAAAGAUCGUGGAUGAGGUCCUUGAUGAGCAGGGUGGAAAGCGUCUUGUUCCAGUGGGUCUUGGAGAUGAUGAUCAAUGCAUGGAAGAUGACUUUGCUGCAUGGCGGGAAUUACUUUGGCGCGAGUUAGAUCAGUUGCUUAAGGAUGAUGACAGUUCAACUGUUGCAACUCCUUACACUGCUGCUGUGUUGGAAUAUCGUGUGGUAUAUCAUGACGGCACAGAUGCAUCAAUAUUGGACAA